Molecule: ribosomal RNA, 253 nt
Filed under: uncultured bacterium
Lineage: Bacteria
Description: partial 16S ribosomal RNA
Rfam family: Bacterial small subunit ribosomal RNA
Source: RNAcentral
UACGAAGGGGGCUAGCGUUGCUCGGAAUCACUGGGCGUAAAGCGCACGUAGGCGGAUUGUUAAGUCAGGGGUGAAAUCCUGGAGCUCAACUCCAGAACUGCCUUUGAUACUGGCGAUCUUGAGUCCGGGAGAGGUGAGUGGAACUGCGAGUGUAGAGGUGAAAUUCGUAGAUAUUCGCAAGAACACCAGUGGCGAAGGCGGCUUUCUGGUCUGUAACUGACGCUGAGGCGCGAAAGCGUGGGGAGCAAACAGG